RNAcentral lists this ribosomal RNA (467 nucleotides) under uncultured bacterium. Its description in RNAcentral is "bacterial SSU rRNA". It matches the Rfam family "Bacterial small subunit ribosomal RNA", at positions 355 to 825 of the family's 1533-position model. The record is from RNAcentral.
UCGGGAAUAUUGGGCAAUGGAGGGAACUCUGACCCAGCCAUGCCGCGUGCAGGAUGAAGGCGUUAUGCGUUGUAAACUGCUUUUUAUAUAGGAAGAAAUAGUCCUUGCGAGGAAAGUUGACGGUACUAUAUGAAUAAGCACCGGCUAACUCCGUGCCAGCAGCCGCGGUAAUACGGAGGGUGCGAGCGUUGUCCGGAUUUAUUGGGUUUAAAGGGUGCGUAGGCGGUUUAUUAAGUCAGUGGUGAAAGACGGUCGCUCAACGAUUGCAGUGCCAUUGAUACUGGUAGACUUGAGUAUGAUUGAGGUAGCUGGAAUGGAUAGUGUAGCGGUGAAAUGCAUAGAUAUUAUCCAGAACACCAAUUGCGUAGGCAAGUUACUAAGUCAUAACUGACGCUGAGGCACGAAAGUGUGGGUAUCAAACAGGAUUAGAUACCCUCGUAGUCCCUGAGCGGGCUGGCAAGGCGCAU